This 594-nucleotide ribosomal RNA is filed under the name Streptomycetaceae bacterium Ri3Pt_4477. Its description in RNAcentral is "bacterial SSU rRNA". It matches the Rfam family "Bacterial small subunit ribosomal RNA", at positions 411 to 1009 of the family's 1533-position model. The record is from RNAcentral. Lineage: Bacteria; Bacillati; Actinomycetota; Actinomycetes; Kitasatosporales; Streptomycetaceae.
ACGGCCUUUCGGGUUGUAAACCUCUUUCAGCAGGGAAGAAGCGUGAGUUGACGGUACCUGCAGAAGAAGCACCGGCUAACUACGUGCCAGCAGCCGCGGUAAUACGUAGGGUGCGAGCGUUGUCCGGAAUUAUUGGGCGUAAAGAGCUCGUAGGCGGCUUGUCGCGUCGGAUGUGAAAGCCCGGGGCUUAACCCCGGGUCUGCAUUCGAUACGGGCAGGCUAGAGUUCGGUAGGGGAGAUCGGAAUUCCUGGUGUAGCGGUGAAAUGCGCAGAUAUCAGGAGGAACACCGGUGGCGAAGGCGGAUCUCUGGGCCGAUACUGACGCUGAGGAGCGAAAGCAUGGGGAGCGAACAGGAUUAGAUACCCUGGUAGUCCAUGCCGUAAACGUUGGGAACUAGGUGUUGGCGACAUUCCACGUCGUCCGGUGCCGCAGCUAACGCAUUAAGUUCCCCGCCUGGGGAGUACGGCCGCAAGGCUAAAACUCAAAGGAAUUGACGGGGGGCCCGCACAAGCAGCGGAGCAUGUGGCUUAAUUCGACGCAACGCGAAGAACCUUACCAAGGCUUGACAUAUAGCCAGGAACGCGUCUAGGAGA